Long non-coding RNA from Mya arenaria, 4935 nucleotides. RefSeq lists it as uncharacterized. The transcript has 11 exons. The record is from RefSeq and is a predicted model, not a curated record. Lineage: Eukaryota; Metazoa; Mollusca; Bivalvia; Myida; Myidae.
UUCAUCAAUAACCGUUGGAGGUAGCCGUUGAUGCGUGUAAAACUUCCAAAACGUCAUAUAAAACGAAUAAGCCUAAUGUUUAAAACAGGAAAUUAAAAAAGGUUAUUCUCUGUGUUUUUGUAUUGAUUGGUCGCCGGUCAUACGAGUUCGUUAUUUUAGAAAUUUAAUUUCUGUGAAAACGAUUUAUAUACACGCUGUGGUAGUAAAUAAGCAUGUGAGAAUUUACGGGCAUAUUGUGAAUAAUAGUUUAAAUUAUUUAUAAGUGCCUUAACACGACAUUAUUUGCCUAUUUUAAAUUUAAGUGAUAUAAAAUGGAAGUACAAAGCAUAAUUCACACGAUUUUACUAAUAAAUAUAAGUCGCAAUAACGAAAUUAACACAAUUUAAAUUUAACUGAUGUAAAAUGAAAGUUCAAAGUGUAAUUCACGCGAUUUAAAACAAACAUUAAUGAAUAAAAGUAGGCCGAAAUGAUAUCUCGGCCGAAUCGACCCGACACCAAUAAUUUUAUCGGUGAUAAUGCAGGGUACUUGUCUAAAUAAUUUACGCAUGCCGGGGACGAUCGAGUAACUACGAUCUAAAAAGUUGAUUAAACCGUCAUAGUUCGGCUAUGUCCGUGUUUAUUCGGAAUGUUAACACUUGAAUAUAUUGUUACAUGACUUUAUUAACCCUAUUGGGUAUCGAUAUUUUGCACAUGACACAACUAUUCAGCGUUCUCCUACAUCUUUUUGCGGGGAAAGAAAACGCGAAAACUGAUUAUGGUAAGAGGUGUUGUACCGCUAUGGCUCUGGUUGCAUUAUUAGCCUGUUUUAGUUACGAACACAACCACAUGUCCUCAUUAACGGCUGUCGAUGUAGACUGUAUACUGAAUGAGGGAAAUGCUUUGUAUUCUACCAUAGUUGAAAGUAUAAACGAGGCUCGAUAUUUAUCGCAUAAUGAUUUGCCAACAUCCGUUAGGUUUAGAAAUGAUUUUGUCCGCAAUAUAUGCUUAAUGUUUACUAUGGUAACGUAAACGGUGAUAAUGACGUCCAUUUGGGUCAAUCCCCAUGUUUCAUGAACAUCAAUAGAUAUAUAUUAAUAUUCAAUAAAACCCAUUCAGCCGAGUCUUUGAUGCCUAACAUCAACAUUCGUCUUGUUAUCCCUUGUAUCUAUUCUUAAGUAAACGUGGAAGGAUAAAGUGCGUUGGUAGUGGAUUCGCCGGAUCACUUGCAAAACGCCCAAACCAACAGAAAAACCGGGUGACUGGUUCUUCCCAACAAAUAAAUUAUACAACCCUAUUAACCUUUUAGGCCGACAGAGGCACUCCUACCGUUUACCGCUGCCACCAUUAAAAUAAACUAUAGAGGAAAGUGCCCGGAGUUGGGAUUGAACCCACAACUGCCGAAACACUAGCACAGCGCUCAUACCAACUGAGUUAACAGGGCAGCUGGUUAUUACCCACACACACUACCAUGCAUUAGACAGGUUGUUUCCAAAUUCUAUUUUAACUUGGAAUAUCAAGAUUUUUUUCAGCAAAACGGAAAAGUAGCCUGAUCGUGCUCGGAGUGUUCGAACUAUCCUGUUACCUUGACAACCAGUCAUACCCCCAUGCGAAAAUCGCCCUGUUCAACUACCUACGUAAAGACGACGGAUAUUGACAGAAAUGACGACAGUAUCAGUAUCUAGCAUAGCAAUGUGUACCUGAACAGAAAUAACUAAAUAUUCAAGGAAGCCAACAGAGGACAAACAUCAAUGUUUCACCUUAAAGACCACAGGAACAUUGAAUGAAGAGGAUAAAGGCAAAUAAUGAGGGUUCCAAAAAAAGAAAACGGAGGGAUUUCUUUGAAACAAAAUUAAAUUCGUCGAUGAUGACGAAUGGAUGUGGAUAAUGUUAGGAUUAUCUCAUGCGCGGUUCUGUAAGGCCCGGGGGAUGAUGACGAACCAGCCAGAUAUUAAAUUGGUGUAACGCAACGUCUGAUUCUGGUGUGCCAAUAAGUUUAUCCACGAAGCAGUCAAGCAACGUGAGACGACGACAUGCAGCUAUGAAUCAGAUACUUCAGGUGGAUGAAGAUGUUAGUCACUCCUAGAACUUGCAUAGUGGACUUGCCAGGUAAAUGGGCUUCCUUUUAGACAUCAUCGAAAUGUAAAGGUAAAUGUAACUUGAUAUAAUUCUUUAAGUGCAUAAGGAAAUAAUGGCUGUUAUAUAUUUGACCGAAAUGGCUAUUGCUGCUUUGUAUGCAUUUCACAAAAUCUAAAACUUGUUAUCUACUCUGUCUGGGCAUAAAUGUUACUAAAAUGCUGUCACAACAGUAAGAAAAUGGUGUCAAGUAUCGAUAUGGUUUUAAAGUUGAAUCAAAGACAGGAGCGUUUUGUUUGCAUAAGGCUUAACAUAAGAACGCAAAUUUAAACAUUUAAAGUUACCAGUAUAAAUAUGUAAACUAUCAUAGCCCUUGGAAGUCUGUAAAUUAGUUAAUUUAUUGCGAUCACAUGUUGUGUAUUUGAUUUUUCAUCAGCUGCCAGUUCCUUGUGUUAUUAAAUAGGGACAGUUUACAACUUUAAAUCCCGAUUAGUUUUGGUAUGAGGCGUAUAAUAAAACUGACUAUGACCUCAGGCUAGUGAUACAAGUAAUAUCUGAGAGAAAAUGUAUUAUAAACCUUUCACCAAAGGAUUUGACAUUUGUUUUAUCUGAGUUAAUGUAAUAUUUUCUGAGAUAUUAAACUGAAAGAAACAACACAAAUUGCUUAUCUUAAGUACACUUUAUUUCAAAGCAAUCAUUCAUUUCUUCAUUCUUUUUCCGUUGUUGGGGAUGACACGAGAGUUGCAUAAAACUGUACUCGGUUCGAUUGUCCGACAGAUGUCUGCGUACACAGGACCUAUACAACUUUACAGAACACAUAAUGGUAUUGCUUCUUCGCCGUAUCUGGAAUGGCGUCUAGAUACAUUUUCCCUGUACCCUACGUUCUCUUGUGAAUGCCUAAGUUAUAAACUACGCCGUUUACAAAUACAAGAUGCGGACAAUAAUCUCAAGAUUGACAUUAACAAGCAUGCGUACAACAAUGCCGGUCAUUAUCUUUCUCUAAUAACUGAUGCAUAUAUAUGACAUGGAGAUACGUGCGUCCGUGUCAAAUUACGUUGGUCAUUUGCGGAAAAGGCAAUUGCUAUGGCAUUCUAUCAAUGGACGUUAGUUAGCUCACGACGAAGAGGGGCGAAGGAUCCUUCUCACGUGACAAUCUAUUAUCUAUCGAUAUAACGUUUGGAUUUUGGCCACAUGUAUACGUUCCUACAUGGCAACCUACUUGACAAAACAAAGGUAUAAGGGGAGAAAAGGAUCACGUUACACACAAACGAUAAAGAAAUAUGUUUUGCAAGACAUGAUCAUUUUUGAUAUUUGGUAUUGGUUGUUUCCACAGAGUUGGUAACGGACACAUCGCCACCCACGGAGGGAAAAACAAUGAGCUAGUCGUUUCAAUGUUUGAAAUUACAGGGAAAACAUGCAUGGUUACACCCCGCGUUUUGAAAUGCAGAUGGACCUUGGUUAUUAAGCUGACAUAUACACGAUUCAAAGCAGCAUUUAUUGAGGAGUUGUCAAGGCCAUUGAUGCCACGGGACAUAAAAGUGAUAUUAUGGUAUCACCAGGGGUAAUCAUCGAUCCUCUUCCACCCAAAGGCUACGAUUGUAAUCUAUUGUAACCGAUUUGAACAAGUUAAGGUCAUUGCAUUGUUAGAUAAUUUGAAGGAUAAUCGGACGAAGGCAAUUGUUGCAAGUUAGACAAAGAUGCAUUUGAUAGAAUGAGAGGAUUUAUCGAAAAUACUUUUGUAGACUCAGUUAUUCUUCAAAUCAAUCGUUUCAUGACCAGAGUCCAAACUGCUCUAAAUUAUAAACACAUUACUGCAAAUGAUAAUACUAAUUUCAAAAAAACAUCUUAGAAACAAUUUAUUGACAAAACAAAUGUGCGUCUUUUAUUGUAAACAAGCAAAGCUUUUCGUGUUCAGCAAAUAAGACUGGAUAAAUGUUCACUUGAAGACAGUGGCAACUGCUAGAGGACUUACAUUACACAAUACAGAAACAUCAAACGUACACAUCAGGGCUACAUACAAUGGACAACAUAGCCUCCCUAUUCACCAUCAUCCAUCCUCCUGCCUUGUCAGGGGAAACAUGAGUGCCCGGAGAAAACCCACUUGUGCACUUGUUCGGCUUGGUGACCACUAAACAAAUUCGCCUUGGUGAGAAGCGAGUGCGCUAAACACUGCGCUAACCGGGAAAUCAAACAUGUUCAAAGAUAGCAUUAUAUAAUCAUGGAAUUCCAAUGCUUGCAUCUAGUAACAAACAUUCCAUACACUUCCGGGAAUUCCAGUUUUGCAUAGCCCUGUUGUGGGAUCAAAAAAAGGAUUCACCGAUUCUUGACUUCUACUAUUACACCGCACAUAUGUAUGACAUUUUGGCUCCGUCAUCUACGAUAAUUUCUCCGAAGAUAUCAGAGUUAUUCCUUACUAUAACAUGAUUGUACAUAUCCAGUACGGAUUUAGAGUGCUCACAGGACAAUAUUCACAAUGUAAUAAUUUACUUGUUCUAUGUCUUUGGCGUUUACCCAGUGUCAUUAAACCAGGUUUAUGUUUGAACCUUUUGCUACUGAGCUUGUUUCUAUAGUUUUUGAAAUAGGUAUUGGUAGUGGAAAAGCGUAACUGUUGCAAAUCUGUUGUUGUUUUUAUAGUUCAUUAUUUAGCUUUCAAUAUAUUCAUAGCUGUGCCUUACUGUAGUUUGAUGUUUUAUCUUAAUUUUGUUCUUGAAAUUUAUUUAUUUUUGAUAUCAUGUAUCAUUUAAACGUCAACUGUCGUUCGUGUAUUUGCUGUAUAAUCAUCUAUGCUAGUGUUUAUAGUUCUUUUGGCUUAGAUUUCCAUUGAUUUACUUUUUAUAUGGUCGCGUUGCUGUCUGUUUUUAAACAACGUUGAAACAAGUUUGA